RNAcentral lists this signal recognition particle RNA (312 nucleotides) under Methanospirillum sp. RNAcentral's name for it is "signal recognition particle sRNA". It matches the Rfam family "Archaeal signal recognition particle RNA". The record is from RNAcentral. Lineage: Archaea; Methanobacteriati; Methanobacteriota; Methanomicrobia; Methanomicrobiales; Methanospirillaceae.
CCGGGAACUAGCCCGGGUGGUCCGGCGUCACCUGUGAUCCGAAACCGUCGGCAUGCGGAGGGCGAAGUUCGAGGAAGGCGCAGACGGCACGGUUGCGUCCGCCGGGCCCCGACGUUGAGACCUUGUCCUGCGAGGUCGGCGGCCAGGGACCCAUGCUCCGGAGGGAGCGGAGGCCUGUCGUUGCGGGCACCGGUUCAGGCCCGGAAGGGAGCAGACCCACCGCAGACGUUCGGCGCCCGCGGGAGUGCGGGGUUGAGAAAGGGCCCCCCGGAACGGCCGCGUGCGUGGCGUCGACCGAGAACGCGUUCCCAC